GAAAGAAACCAAGAAAGUGACAUUGGUAAACAUAGGCGCAGGGAGACUUGGAGACAGAAGCCCAGGGAUAAAGGGGCCCGGGUGAGGUGGAAUCUUAGUCGGAGACUAGGUAAGAAGCCAGGCAAAUCUGGUGGUGACCCCGCCAGGCCUACAUUCCAUCGACCUCCUGGGAACCUGUUGCAGAGAGAUUUGAGAGGGCAGAGAUUCCAGGGUCCCAGUGCUAUGGGCCCCCCCGAGGCCUAGGGGAAUAAACAGGAGACAGACGGUGACCAGGUUGCGGACCUCGACCACUCUGCCCUGUUAAUUACAUUCUACCAAUUGAUCACCUGAAAGAAAAUGCACAGGACUCAAAAGGAGGCGGCUGUCCUCUUGAAUCCAAACCAGGGGACUCGUGCUGGGCUUGCUCACCGCUGCUUCUCGCCAGAACGCGGCCAAGAGGAGGAGAUCAAAAGGCGGAGAGGACCCCGAAGAGGACUGGCGCCCUCUAGAGGAUGAGGAAGCUCAAUACCACCAUGAGAGAGAGGAAAUUGACCCUGUCCUUUGCCCGAAAAAAUGAGAAAGACACAACAGGAGAGGGUCAAGAAGGUGAGGCCAUGUCCUUCCUAUCUGGAGGAGGAGACAGCCUCUGUAUCACCCAGAGGCCCUGCCUCUCCUUAAGAACCUAGCCCAGGAACCAAAUGAAAAAGCAGCUGCCUGGCUGCAGAAAACGUAUCCAACAGAGCAUAGCAAG
This is a long non-coding RNA of Cebus imitator (Panamanian white-faced capuchin), 730 nucleotides long. RefSeq lists it as uncharacterized. The transcript has 3 exons. The record is from RefSeq and is a predicted model, not a curated record. Lineage: Eukaryota; Metazoa; Chordata; Mammalia; Primates; Cebidae.